Molecule: long non-coding RNA, 222 nt
Organism: Carassius carassius (crucian carp)
Lineage: Eukaryota; Metazoa; Chordata; Actinopteri; Cypriniformes; Cyprinidae
Exons: 3
Source: RefSeq, a predicted model, not a curated record
GUCUAAAGUUACAGAUUUGAAACAUCCAGGAGCACGUGACACCUUCACAAGAAAUAAUACAUCAGGAGACGAACAAGAUGACAACCACAAAGGCAACGAUUUUCCUGACUGGGCUAUUGCUUUAUUCGCAAUUGCUGGUGGAAGUAUUGCCAUUUUAUUAAUUGGAAUAAGGGCAAAACGCUUCUGUAACAAAAAACAAAAUGCUGUGAUAUAGUGGCAAAU